GAAGUUGAUUAAGGUAAUCGCGGUAUUGAUUUCAAUAUCGAGGAAAGUCCGGGCUCCACAGGAUGCAGUGCCAGAUAACGUCUGGGAGGCGUGAGCCUACGGCCAGUGCAACAGAGAGCAGACCGCCAGUUUAGACUGGUAAGGGUGAAAGGGUGUGGUAAGAGCGCACCGCAUGACCGGUAACGGUUCAUGGCAUGGUAAACCCCACUGGGAGCAAGACCAAAUAGGAAAACAUUUGUGUGAUCCGCACAGUUUUCGGGUAGGUUGCUUGAGACAUGCAGCGAUGUAUGAUCCAGAUGAAUGAUUACCCUAUCAUUAAGAUAGACAGAACCCGGCUUAUUAAUCAACUUCUACU
RNAcentral lists this RNase P RNA (355 nucleotides) under Gammaproteobacteria bacterium. RNAcentral's name for it is "RNase P RNA component class A". It matches the Rfam family "Bacterial RNase P class A". Rfam says of the family: Ribonuclease P (RNase P) is a ubiquitous endoribonuclease, found in archaea, bacteria and eukarya as well as chloroplasts and mitochondria. Its best characterised activity is the generation of mature 5'-ends of tRNAs by cleaving the 5'-leader elements of precursor-tRNAs. Cellular RNase Ps are ribonucleoproteins. RNAcentral also lists the same sequence under 1 other name. The record is from RNAcentral. Lineage: Bacteria; Pseudomonadati; Pseudomonadota; Gammaproteobacteria.